Molecule: ribosomal RNA, 810 nt
Filed under: uncultured archaeon
Lineage: Archaea
Description: bacterial SSU rRNA
Rfam family: Archaeal small subunit ribosomal RNA
Source: RNAcentral
ACGGCUCAGUAACACGUGGGCUAACCUACCCUCGAGACGGAGACAACCCCGGGAAACUGGGGCUAAUCCCCGAUAGGUGAAGAUUCCUGGAAUGGAUCUUCGCUCAAAAGGUGUUGGAAUCAUGCUUUCAGCAUUGCUCGAGGAUGGAGCCGCGGCCGAUCAGGUAGUUGGUGAGGUAACGGCUCACCAAGCCUAUAACCGGUACGGGCCGUGGGAGCGGGAGCCCGGAGAUGGGAACUGAGACAAGGUCCCAGGCCCUACGGGGCGCAGCAGUCGCGAAAACUCCGCAAUGCACGAAAGUGUGACGGGGCUACCCCGAGUGCCGUCCGCUGAGGAUGGCUUUUCUUUGCUGUAAGGAAGCGGAGGAAUAAGGAGAGGGCAAGUCUGGUGUCAGCCGCCGCGGUAAUACCAGCUCUCCGAGUGGUGGGGAUGAUUAUUGGGCUUAAAGCGUCCGUAGCCGGCUUUUCAAGUCUCUUGUUAAAUCCAGCGAUUCAAUCGUUGGGCUGCAGGAGAUACUGUUAGGCUAGGAGACGGGAGAAGCCGACGGUAUUCCCGGAGUAGGGGUAAAAUCCUAUAAUCCCGGGAAGACCACCAGUGGCGUAGGCGGUCGGCUAGCACGCGCUCGACGGUGAGGGACGAAAGCUGGGGGAGCGAACCGGAUUAGAUACCCGGGUAGUCCCAGCUGUAAACGAUGCGGACUAGGUGUUGGAGCGGCUACGGGCCGCUUCAGUGCCGCAGGGAAACCAUUAAGUCCGCCGCCUGGGGAGUACGGCCGCAAGGCUGAAACUUAAAGGAAUUGGCCGGGGGGAG